RNAcentral lists this unclassified non-coding RNA (234 nucleotides) under Hevea brasiliensis (rubber tree). The record is from RNAcentral. Lineage: Eukaryota; Viridiplantae; Streptophyta; Magnoliopsida; Malpighiales; Euphorbiaceae.
GGAGUUGUGAGUACAGUCCUGAAAGAGAAAGCAAACAGGGAAAUCGUCAUGGUGUUGUUUUCGGGGCUAAUGUAGAUUUGCCAAAUGAACUGCAUAACCCCAUUUUACCUCUACCCAGUGUGCUGCAAAGAUCACAACAAUAUCAGCAACCUUCUUGUUCUUCAUCAAUGAUGAAUAUCUCAUCAGGGAUUUCAUCAUCAUCUGUACUAAAUUAUCAGAUGGAGCCCCCUUCAA